AUUGAACGCUGGCGGUAUGCUUAACACAUGCAAGUCGAACGCGAAAGCUCUUUCGGGAGUGAGUAGAGUGGCGGACGGGUGAGUAACGCGUGGGAAUCUGCCCAAUAGUGGGGGACAACCUGAGGAAACUCGGGCUAAUACCGCAUAGGCCCUACGGGGUAAAGGCUUCGGUCGCUAUUGGAUGAGCCCGCGUCCGAUUAGCUAGUUGGUAAGGUAAGAGCUUACCAAGGCGAUGAUCGGUAGCUGGUCUGAGAGGACGAUCAGCCACACUGGGACUGAGACACGGCCCAG
Molecule: ribosomal RNA, 291 nt
Filed under: uncultured bacterium
Lineage: Bacteria
Description: partial 16S ribosomal RNA
Rfam family: Bacterial small subunit ribosomal RNA
Source: RNAcentral